GACGGAGGGUGCUAGCGUUGUUCGGAAUCACUGGGCGUAAAGGGUGCGUAGGCGGGUCUUUAAGUCAGGGGUGAAAUCCUGGAGCUCAACUCCAGAACUGCCUUUGAUACUGAGGAUCUUGAGUACGGGAGAGGUGAGUGGAACUGCGAGUGUAGAGGUGAAAUUCGUAGAUAUUCGCAAGAACACCAGUGGCGAAGGCGGCUCACUGGCCCGUUACUGACGCUGAGGCACGAAAGCGUGGGGAGCAAACAGG
RNAcentral lists this ribosomal RNA (253 nucleotides) under uncultured bacterium. RNAcentral describes it as "partial 16S ribosomal RNA". It matches the Rfam family "Bacterial small subunit ribosomal RNA", at positions 524 to 776 of the family's 1533-position model. The record is from RNAcentral.